Molecule: long non-coding RNA, 587 nt
Organism: Nicotiana attenuata
Lineage: Eukaryota; Viridiplantae; Streptophyta; Magnoliopsida; Solanales; Solanaceae
Exons: 2
Source: RefSeq, a predicted model, not a curated record
CAAAAAAAAAAUAGACGCCCAAAAAUCUGAAGGAGUAAAAUACACUCUGAAAAGGGACUGAAAAAGCUGCGCAGCUUUUAACAAACGACCCCACCCCCAGUCAUCGUCUUCUGAAAUUCACCCACCGCUCAGCUUCUUUUUGGACCAGAUGCACACACACAUACAAACAGAGAUAUGGAAUUUCAGUCCGAAAAAUCGAGUGAACAAUAGUGAGAACAGAUCUGGGACGAGCCGAAAACAGGGUCAAAACCUUUCCGAUUCCAAGCGAGGUUCAGUUGCUGAAGUUCCGGUGGCGAUUUGGUCUGUGUUCGGGUUUAUUUUUCUUCGAUUUUUAUUCGCGUUUCAGGUAUGAAUUUUCGAUUCGAAAUGCUGUAAUCGUCAUUGGGUGCUCUAUUAGGAUGAAAUGUGUAAUAAUUUUUCCUUUGUGUCUCUGAAAAUUUCAUUGCUCAGUCUCUUCUUUCUCUGUUUUAUUUCGUUGCUUACAUGUUGAUUCGAUGCCUCAGUUUUGGCUACUGUUCAUUUCUGCGAUGUUACUCUCGUGGUUUUGAUUGAAAUAUGUGGCUGACCUGUUCUUCUUGUUGGUUGAA